Molecule: ribosomal RNA, 483 nt
Filed under: uncultured bacterium
Lineage: Bacteria
Description: partial 16S ribosomal RNA
Rfam family: Bacterial small subunit ribosomal RNA
Source: RNAcentral
AUUGAACGCUGGCGGCAGGCCUAACACAUGCAAGUCGAGCGGAUGAAGGGAGCUUGCUCCUGGAUUCAGCGGCGGACGGGUGAGUAAUGCCUAGGAAUCUGCCUGGUAGUGGGGGAUAACGUCCGGAAACGGGCGCUAAUACCGCAUACGUCCUGAGGGAGAAAGUGGGGGAUCUUCGGACCUCACGCUAUCGGAUGAGCCUAGGUCGGAUUAGCUAGUUGGUGGGGUAAAGGCCUACCAAGGCGACGAUCCGUAACUGGUCUGAGAGGAUGAUCAGUCACACUGGAACUGAGACACGGUCCAGACUCCUACGGGAGGCAGCAGUGGGGAAUAUGGGACAAUGGGCGAAAGCCUGAUCCAGCCAUGCCGCGUGUGUGAAGAAGGUCUGCGGAUUGUAAAGCACUUUAAGUUGGGAGGAAGGGCAGUAAGUUAAUACCUUGCUGUUUGGACGUUACCAACAGAAUAAGCACCGGCUAACUUCGU